RNAcentral lists this ribosomal RNA (253 nucleotides) under uncultured bacterium. RNAcentral describes it as "partial 16S ribosomal RNA". It matches the Rfam family "Bacterial small subunit ribosomal RNA", at positions 524 to 776 of the family's 1533-position model. The record is from RNAcentral.
UACAGGGGGGGCAAGCGUUGUUCGGAUUUACUGGGCGUAAAGGGCGCGUAGGCGGCGCGGUAAGUCACUUGUGAAAUCUCUGGGCUUAACUCAGAACGGCCAAGUGAUACUGCAGUGCUAGAGUGCGGAAAGGGCAAUCGGAAUUCUUGGUGUAGCGGUGAAAUGCGUAGAUAUCAAGAGGAACACCUGAGGCGAAGGCGGGUUGCUAGGCUGACACUGACGCUGAGGCGCGAAAGCCAGGGGAGCAAACGGG